GCCCAAGAGAUCGGGAUAACACCUGGAAACAGAUGCUAAUACCGGAUAANAACAGAUGAUGCCUAUCAACUGUUUAAAAGAUGGUUCUGCUAUCACUCUUGGAUGGACCUGCGGUGCAUUAGCUAGUUGGUAGGGUAACGGCCUACCAAGGCGAUGAUGCAUAGCCGAGUUGAGAGACUGAUCGGCCACAUUGGGACUGAGACACGGCCCAAACUCCUACGGGAGGCAGCAGCU
This 234-nucleotide ribosomal RNA is filed under the name uncultured Lactobacillus sp. RNAcentral describes it as "partial 16S ribosomal RNA". It matches the Rfam family "Bacterial small subunit ribosomal RNA", at positions 128 to 355 of the family's 1533-position model. The record is from RNAcentral. Lineage: Bacteria; Bacillati; Bacillota; Bacilli; Lactobacillales; Lactobacillaceae.